AGAAUAUGGCAAAGCACGCGAAAGCGUGUGACGCAAAGCUAUAGGGCCUAAGUAAUGAUAUGGCAGCCAGUUGC
This 74-nucleotide non-coding RNA is filed under the name uncultured Acetatifactor sp. Its description in RNAcentral is "Cyclic di-GMP-I riboswitch". It matches the Rfam family "c-di-GMP-I riboswitch aptamer". Rfam says of the family: GEMM was predicted in a large-scale screen for bacterial structured RNA regulatory elements. Genes associated with GEMM are involved in a diverse array of functions, including chemotaxis regulation, signal transduction, secretion and chitin. The record is from RNAcentral. Lineage: Bacteria; Bacillati; Bacillota; Clostridia; Lachnospirales; Lachnospiraceae.